Molecule: unclassified non-coding RNA, 239 nt
Filed under: Ascomycota sp.
Lineage: Eukaryota; Fungi; Ascomycota
Description: partial contains small subunit ribosomal RNA, internal transcribed spacer 1, and 5.8S ribosomal RNA
Rfam family: Eukaryotic small subunit ribosomal RNA (bases 1-47)
Source: RNAcentral
AAAGUCGUAACAAGGUCUCCGUAGGUGAACCUGCGGAGGGAUCAUUACCGAGUGAGGGCGCUUGCCGCCCGACCUCCCAACCCUUUGAUUUGAUCAAGACCUCCUUCUGCCUCGGGGGCGACCCGGACCUCGCGGUCUCGGUCCCCCCGGCGGUCACAAACACAAACCCUGCAUCAAUUGUCGUCUGAGUAAAGAAGUUAAUUCAAUUAAAACUUUCAACAACGGAUCUCUUGGUUCUG